Non-coding RNA from Ictidomys tridecemlineatus (thirteen-lined ground squirrel), 318 nucleotides. The record is from RefSeq and is a predicted model, not a curated record. Lineage: Eukaryota; Metazoa; Chordata; Mammalia; Rodentia; Sciuridae.
AGCAGAAGCAGGAUCAUAUGAUAUUUAUGAGCUGGGAUCUGAUUCAAGUCCUCAAUCCACAGCAUACUUCACGGUUUCUCUUCACUUCCUUAAGAGUAGAUGUUCUAAUUUGGCUAAUUAAUUCUGCCAAGAAUGAGUACCAAAUGCUGAAUAGAAGACUGGUAUGAAGUCACUUGCCCAACCACAGAUGAAGGCUUGGUGCUGUUAGCAAAGUCAGGGUCAAUGUAAUGAUUUCCAGGAGCUGUGAUAGGGUGCAGGAGUAGAGAAAGCCUGAUGUCUGUGUUUUGGAUAAAGAUGAUAAUAUUUUUGAGGACACAA